Phascolarctos cinereus (koala) is the source of this 3605-nucleotide non-coding RNA. NCBI's taxonomy places the organism in Eukaryota, Metazoa, Chordata, Mammalia, Diprotodontia, Phascolarctidae. The record is from RefSeq and is a predicted model, not a curated record.
GCUUCUGACUACAAAUCCAGUGCUCUCCUUUACUCCACAUAUUGCCCGUGUCCUCACCAGCAAAGGUCAGUGCACCAGGGACUCAAGGUCAUCUGAAAAGAACACGUGGGUAGAGUCUCUGAAUCUGGAACACGAACUGCAGGAAUUGGAACGUUCAGUCUGAAACACACACCGGGGAAGAAUGUGUGGGAACCAGCCUGGGCGAAAACCAGCUGCCUCCUGGCUCUGGGACUGGUCCUGCAACUUGAUGCUAUUCUUGCAACCCCAGGAGUUGAUCUGACACAUGGAAGCAGAGACCUUGUCUCCCUUAUCAGCCUGGGGCUGACGACUGUGAGCUCUUCUUUUUUUCUCCCCCAGUGCCUGAGGAAGGGAGAAGGAGAGGGGGAAGGGGGAUGUAGAGGCUGGAAAGUUAGCCACUCCCCGAGGGACUCCUGGUAUCGAUAACACGGAGAAAAUUCAAACCAGCUGCUUGAGGCCUCUGUGGGCCCGCAGAGGCUCUCCUCCCUCCCCCACUUAAAUCUUUGGAAAAAUGCCAGAAGCCAAGGGAAAUUACUGCAGUAGGAAAUUCAACCACCAGCCUGCCAAGACUCUAUUUAUCACCCUCACUGGCUGAAUCAUCUUGGAGCCCCGAGACUAUGGGAUUCAUGAGCUUGCAAACACAUACUCGUGCCCAGCUCACGUGUCAGGUGAAGAAACUGUAUCUCAGAGAAGUGAAUGGUCUUGCCGAGGGUCAGCUGGUAACCGCUGUCAGAGCUCAGACUCAAACCCAAUGUUCUAAGAUCGGUUAUCUUUCUGCUACACCACCUGGCUGCUUGACAGAAAUGCAAACAAGCCUCCGUUUCUUCAAAGCUAUCAUUAAAAAUUCACCCUCUGCAGUAACCUUGGCUGUAUCUGCAUACACAGUUCCUGUGCUUAUUUAUACAACCCAGUCAUGUUGUAACUAAAGUGCCCCUUGACUAGUGGAACUGGAGCCAAAGUCAGGUGGCCCGGGCUCCCACUCUGGUUCAGCAAUUAAUUUAUUGUGUAACUAACCUCAGGCAAGUCACUUUUUCCUUCUCUGUGCCUCAGUUUCCUUAUUUAUCCUAUUUCUCAACCCUCUCACACCUACCAUGUAUCUCUCCAUUGUCCUCUGGGUGAUAGCUGUUUUCUGUCUUUGUCUGAUGAUCUAUUAUGUGUCUCACAGUGACACCAUAAUACUAGCAAAAUAUUGGGAUAAAAAUGACGAGCCCUUGUUUCUGGGAAAGUGUGGGGUCAUUAAAGGAGUUUCGCAAUUUACUGAAAAAAAUCUAUCUUACUUUCCUCCUGGUUAAUUCCAGGCUCAACUUCUUCCUUUAUAUUAUCGUUCCAGAUAUACAUUUUGAUGACCAAGCUCUACACAUCGUGGAUGAUAAUGUGAACAAUGGAUACUCUUCACCCGCUUGGUUUUUUUCUGUGUGGGUGGUCAGGCUUGACUCUCUGGGGAUAGUUAUAGACCUCUUCUAGGAGGCUCUGCAAUGUCCUGGGAAAGUAUCUCAGUGUUCUUUUUUCUGGUUUUUUUCUUAGCUUCCAGAUUGUGAGUUCCUUGAGGGCAAGAGCUACAUAUUUUCCUUUUUCUUUUUUUCUGUUCUCUCUGACAUGGCUGAGUCAUUUGGCAUGCUGGGCCUUCGAAGAGUCAAGUCAGGACACCUAACUUGGAAUCCUGGCUAUGCCACCAUUGUAUUCGCUAUAUGGUUUACUGUCAAAUCAUUUCCCUCUCUCUGAGUUUCAGUUUCCUCUUCUUUUAAAAAAAACAAAAGGCAUAGCAGAGGGCCUCUUAGAGAGCGUCUCUAAGGCCCCUGGCAGUCCUAAUGUCCUAAGACUCUAUAGUUCCAGAGGCCUUUGUUUGGAAACAGAACUCCUUAAUUCCGCCCAAGUUGUUGCUCAGAAGACCAGAGCAUCAAGCCAUACUACCCAGAUCUCUGAACCUAUCAUCUUAUGCCCAUUCUCUGAUGAUUCAACCAGUGAAGCUCAGAAAGGCUCCUUGCCAGAAGGUGGGAUCCUGAGAUAAGGAAACUGUAAUCCUUAGAAGUUCAUCAAUUUGCCUGAAGUCACCCAGUCUUAAAGGAAUGAAAUCACCUGGUAAAAUUUUUGCCCUAUGCACAUAAGAACACACGUACCGUUAACUUCUGACAGCAUGGGCUUUCCUCCAAAAGACCGGAAUUCUGGGAUUCUCUAACGUUCCAUCAACUACAAGUGUUCAUGGUCCCAGACUAAAAGGGAGCUGGCAGACAGACAUACUCACCAUGGAGCCUAGCAGGAGCUCUCUGCAGUCAGGUGACAUCAUUGAGGUGUUCAGAGAUAAGGACACAGAGUCAACUAGUGGCAUAAUCAUGACUUAUGAUAAUAAUAACUCACAUUUACAAGGCAUUUUCUUCACAAUCACACUUGAGGGAGAUUUACAUAUUUACACACUUAGGAUGUUUCUCAUUGGCUAACCCCACAAAGAUGAUCUGUAUCUAAGGAGCCAGCACUGUGAGAUGGUCUUCCAAGGCUUUCAGAUGCUGUAAUCACAGAGGCUCCAGGGGAUGUCUCAAGGUCAAUAGAGAGCCCAUAGACACAUCAAAGAACAAAGGAGGAAAACUGGGGUCUAUCUUUGUGGUUGAAUGUUGGAUCGGUCAGAUCAUAUUUCAACAAAACAGCAAAGGAGACAGCACGGAGGAGUGGAAAACAAAGCACUGGCUCCAGAAUCAGAGAACUCGGGUUCAGAUUUCUUGAUACUAUGAGCUGUCAGCCUGAUUAUCACCGAGUCUCCCUAAGCCUAUACCCUCAUCUGUAAAAUGGGUGAGUUGGAGUAAGUAGUCUCUGAGCAGCCUUCCAGCCAAAGAUCUACGCUCCUGUGUUCAUCAUGGAAAGCAGGAAUUGGCAACCUACAGCAAGUGGCCCGUUUUUGUAAAAAAGUGAAAACUAUUCUUAGCUCACUUGACUGGCCUUACAAAGACAGACAUGAGGCUGGAUUUGGCUCUCAGGCCACAGUUUGCCAUCCCAAUACAUUGUCUGGUUUUCUGUCUGUGUCAUUGUCUCACCAGCCUACAUGCGCAACAAAAGAAGAGAUCGUGUCUUUCCCAACUUUCUAUUUCCCCCAGCACUGAAUGGAGUGUUCUGGACAUUUCUUAAAACUCCAUUAUUUCAUAGGUCAAAGAUUUCAUCCAUAGACAUUACCUCCACUAACGAAAAUCAUGACUCUUCUAUAAUUUACCCUGUCUCCAAGUUUCUGUGGCUGACCUGAUGAGAUACAUUUCCAAAACUGGAGAAGGCUAGUCCUUGGAACAACAGACAUGGAGCCCAUCACGUAGCCCACACUCAGAUUAUUUGGUUGGAUCUGUCGGAGCCUGUGCUCUGUUGGCAGAUGUUUACACACAUUUGUUGAAUUGAAUUAGAGGGGCAAAAUGUAGAAGUGGUCUAUAUUCUUUAAAUGUCUUUAAAUGGGACAAAAAUUUUUGUCUCACACUCAAGGAUUUUCCAGGUUGGUAAUAAUAUUUGCCUCUAGGUUUGAAGGUGGCAAAUGUUCUAUUUCAUUCAUCAAAGGAGAAAGGUUUCAGCCAGUAGGACCAAUUUUUCUGAAGAAUUACUGUUGCUUUCACAAUUUU